Non-coding RNA from Deltaproteobacteria bacterium RBG_16_48_10, 78 nucleotides. The record is from Rfam. NCBI's taxonomy places the organism in Bacteria, Deltaproteobacteria.
CUGAGCGUUGAGAGAUCAACGUUGACCGCAGGGGAGAAGUCAGCAGAGGGCAUAUUAGGUCAGUAGUGACCGAAGGCC